RNAcentral lists this ribosomal RNA (605 nucleotides) under uncultured bacterium. RNAcentral's name for it is "bacterial SSU rRNA". The stretch from base 1 to 521 matches the Rfam family "Bacterial small subunit ribosomal RNA", at positions 338 to 873 of the family's 1533-position model. The record is from RNAcentral.
CCUACGGGAGGCAGCAGUGGGGAAUAUUGCGCAAUGGGCGAAAGCCUGACGCAGCGACGCCGCGUGAGGGAUGAAGGCCUUCGGGUCGUAAACCUCUUUCAGCAGGGAAGAAGCGAAAGUGACGGUACCUGCAGAAGAAGCACCGGCUAACUACGUGCCAGCAGCCGCGGUAAUACGUAGGGUGCAAGCGUUGUCCGGAAUUAUUGGGCGUAAAGAGCUCGUAGGCGGUCUGUCGCGUCUGCUGUGAAAACUCAGGGCUUAACCCUGAGCUUGCAGUGGGUACGGGCAGACUAGAGUGCGGUAGGGGAGACUGGAAUUCCUGGUGUAGCGGUGAAAUGCGCAGAUAUCAGGAGGAACACCGGUGGCGAAGGCGGGUCUCUGGGCCGUAACUGACGCUGAGGAGCGAAAGCAUGGGGAGCGAACAGGAUUAGAUACCCUGGUAGUCCAUGCCGUAAACGUUGGGCGCUAGGUGUGGGGCUCAUUCCACGAGUUCCGUGCCGCAGCUACGCAUAGCGCCCGCCGNGGGAGGUACGGCCGCGAGGAACGUAAACGUAACGUUAAAGUUAGUAGACGNGNGAGNGCGACGACGACGACGACGGAGGAGG